This 253-nucleotide ribosomal RNA is filed under the name uncultured bacterium. Its description in RNAcentral is "partial 16S ribosomal RNA". It matches the Rfam family "Bacterial small subunit ribosomal RNA", at positions 524 to 776 of the family's 1533-position model. The record is from RNAcentral.
UACGGAGGGUGCAAGCGUUAUCCGGAUUCACUGGGGUUAAAGGGUGUGUAGGCGGAUAUUUAAGUCAGUGGUGAAAUCUCCAGGCUCAACCUGGAAACUGCCAUUGAUACUAUUUAUCUUGAAUUCUGUUGAGGUGGGCGGAAUACAUCAUGUAGCGGUGAAAUGCUUAGAUAUGAUGUAGAACACCGAUUGCGAAGGCAGCUCACUAAACAGACAUUGACGCUGAGGCACGAAAGCGUGGGGAUCAAACAGG